Molecule: ribosomal RNA, 228 nt
Filed under: Triticum aestivum (bread wheat)
Lineage: Eukaryota; Viridiplantae; Streptophyta; Magnoliopsida; Poales; Poaceae
Description: partial small subunit ribosomal RNA
Source: RNAcentral
AUGUCUGUUCGCCUUCUUAUCUCACUAGCUGCCCAUGAGGGGUGGGCCAUCCACCACAUGGAUGUGAAAUCUGCAUUCCUGAAUGGAGUGUUGGAGGAGGAGGUCUAUGUGUCACAGAUGCCUGGGUUCAUCGUCACCGGGCAGGAUAGCAAGGUUCUGCGCCUGAAGGUGUUAUAUGACUGCGUCAAGCCCCACAUGCAUGGAAUGCGUGCCUCGGCGCCACACUGA